This is a long non-coding RNA of Apis cerana (Asiatic honeybee), 2036 nucleotides long. RefSeq lists it as uncharacterized. Lineage: Eukaryota; Metazoa; Arthropoda; Insecta; Hymenoptera; Apidae. The record is from RefSeq and is a predicted model, not a curated record.
CGGGCUUACUCCAUCUCUCGCGGUGAUUCUCGGUUACGUUGUCGCCUCUCGUUUGCUUACUCGUUUCAUCUCUUGUGUAUAGAUUGUGCGGUUGUCUCGCUUCAUCGGAUUUCUUCGCUAUACGUCGUCUAGGCCAGUUCGCCAGUUGCUCGGUUGAUCGGUUGAAUUUGAGUCUAACUCUAGAUGAUAAGUUAAGAGGUUAAGUUUUCUUCUUUUUUCUUCUUUGAUAAAUGAAAUUUAAAACUUUAAUUAAAAAAUUUAAAACAUAGUAUUCGAAAAAUGAAAAGAAGAAAUAGAAAACAAAGAAUCCAAAUUAUAGAAGUUAAUAUUUAAAAUUCAGAUUUCAAAAUAUGACACAAGGCGAAAAUAUUAUUUGGUCUUUCUUAAGUAGAGGAUAUUGUAUAUUUGAGAAUAUAGAAAUCGUACAAGAUGGUUUACCUCAGGUGAGCAAUAUUUGUCUUGGGAUACAUUACUUGUAAACUUGCAUGUUUCUUACACAUAAUAGCUACGCAUUUUUUAUCUUGGCUCGCUAGAAAAUUUAAUCUGAAGCUUUAUCAAGUCCUCUUCAUUAUCUAUAGUUAUCAAUUCUUUUUGCAAUUUCUUUUUUCCUCAUUUCUCACGAUUUACAACUCUAUCCUUACUUUUAUCUUCCGCCAACUUUUCAUACUGGUUUCAGUUCAGGCCAAGUCCUUGUCAUCGAUCUUUCCUUAUUUUUACUUCGACCUAUUUUACUCGCUUUCAGAAUAUUCAUUUAUCCGGCUUUUAUUUCGUGAUACAGCCCGUUUUCUUCUAAUUGCAUCCAACUUGCCACAUCUCUUGACAUCUUUCUAUCCUUCCAACUAUUUGUUUUAUUCUCUACACACAAAUGUAUAUACAAUUUCAAUUCAGAUCUUCUGUAUAUCUAGCUUUUAUGCGAAUCAUAAGCUGCAGUGAUAUUCUUCCUAACUUUUCACACCGUAAAUCUUGUUUGUAUGCAAGUUGCUUAUUCUCUCUUAAUCUACCGAAGUUGCAUUUGAAUUAUGCUUCUUAUAUGCAUUUUAAAAUUUAAGUUUUUUUUUUUUGAGUUUUCGAGAUUUUACUUCUUUGCUUUGGUUUUUGAAUUUUAUUUUUUUUUUCUUGAAUUUUUAGUUUAUGCAUUAUAUUUUGAUUUGAUCUUGUUUUAUAGAAAUCAUUUUUAAUAUCAUUAUUCAAUAUGCACACACAAAUAUAAAUAACAUACAUUACUUUAUUAGAUACUAUAUCUAAAAACAAUAAUGCAUGAUAAUAUAUAUUUAUAUUUUUUUCGCUAUUUUAUUAUAUACAGAAUCUCAGUUAAUCUUUCCACUCCUAUUCUGUUCAUGAUUUUCCAUUUCUUCUUUCUCUAAAUGUUCUAUUUCUUUAUUUAAGCCUAAAAUUUUCACUGUCUUCACUCUCUUUUCGUACUUAUUUAUUUCUCAUGUACAUUCUUUUAAGAGAAAUUCUUGUCUUUCCUUCUUUUUCCUUCAAUUAACCUUUAUCCAACAAUUCUCUCUACCAUAAAACUUCUCAUCUAGAUCUCUUGCGAGGAGAUACAAUAAUUUAAAACACAAUUUUAUUCGUGAUAGAAGUAUAUGACACGACUAUUGUUUGUAGUAUUUAUAUUUUUAUAUAAUAUCAAGAAAAAAAGGCUUAUAAAUUGUUUACAUCAAUUUCAGUAGCUACAGGAUAUCUCAUCUAAAAUUUUAUCACUUAUUUUCAAAAAAUUAAUACAUUUAACUUGCUAAAAAUGAUAUUAAUGGAUUAAAAGAAAAUUUGCAAAUAAAAAGUUUGGCAUUCAGGUAUGGCAAUUAUUAUUAUUUGGGCACGCUUCGAAUAAUAAUAAUUUUAUAAUAGAUAUUGAUUGGAAUUUAAAAGGCUCUCAGCGAGGAGACAAAUUUUUAUGGAAACAACUGAAAAUUUAGCAACAGCUUCUUCAAUAAAUAUAAUUGUAUUAAUUAUGUCUAUAUAAAAUUCAACGUAUAAUAUUAAAAGUUUUUCAUUAAUGUCUUAAAAACUAAUAAAGAUAUCCAAAAUUAAAA